UCUCCCCUGCUAUGCGCGUGAUUAUAGAUAUAUUCAGAACCAACACUAUUAGAUAAGGGAACCUUCUCUGACUGUUCGCCGACGGAUUCCUUUAAAGGGGAAUGGUCGAACACAGUUAUAAGGGUCCCACCUAUAUAUAAUAGGUUCAAGAAUAGUCUAUGACACGGCAUCACGGUGGGGGGGAA
Molecule: non-coding RNA, 185 nt
Filed under: Deltaproteobacteria bacterium RIFCSPLOWO2_02_44_9
Lineage: Bacteria; Deltaproteobacteria
Description: 6S RNA
Rfam family: 6S / SsrS RNA
About the family: E. coli 6S RNA was the first non coding RNA to be sequenced, but its function was unknown until recently. It consists of 184 nucleotides that fold into an extended hairpin structure with a large single-stranded internal bulge. The 6S RNA specifically associates with RNA polymerase holoenzyme containing the sigma70 specificity factor.
Source: RNAcentral